CCCCUCUCAGGAUCACACCUGGAGAGUUUCCAGUAUUCUACCAGUCUCGGCUACAGGAGGGAGAGUCAAGCAGAGGCAUACCAACUCCAUCCUAGCUUGGGCAGUGGCUAGUGAGAGGAAGGCAAUCUGCUACCAGU
This is a small nucleolar RNA of Tachyglossus aculeatus (Australian echidna), 137 nucleotides long. The record is from RefSeq and is a predicted model, not a curated record. Lineage: Eukaryota; Metazoa; Chordata; Mammalia; Monotremata; Tachyglossidae.